Molecule: RNA transcript, 3455 nt
Organism: Ooceraea biroi (clonal raider ant)
Lineage: Eukaryota; Metazoa; Arthropoda; Insecta; Hymenoptera; Formicidae
Gene name: serine/threonine-protein kinase dyf-5
Source: RefSeq, a predicted model, not a curated record
UUCUUCGUUUUCCGACUCUUUUUUUCUAGUCCAAUUGGUAACCAGCGGCAAGAGUGCAACAAAUUCAUCAAUUUCCUUGUGCCAUUAUGAUUAUGUCAUUUAAUUUUAUCGUCGUACGGUCUUCAGCUGGAAAUUGACAAUUAAUUGACAACUUUUGCCUCACGUUGGAAUCAGUCGGAAUACAUUUCUGUAUUCUUAUUUUUAUCUCGCGACGUGUAAAUAUUCAUCGCGCGUGUAACGCAAAAUCGCAUUGCCAAUUUCGGAACAAGGACUUGUAGAGCUAAACAGUUUGGAAAACAAUUGCUGGCGAAGCUACGCUUUCAGAGUUCUAGUCUUUAAAGUGAGGUCUGCCUAAAGUUAAGAAUAUGAUUUUACUGGUCUGUUUGUCUCUUUCUCUCCACCAUUUCAUCCUUUAAUGCUCACUUGCCAUAAAAAAAUUUUAAUUUUGCUAAAGAAACAAUUGUUUUAAGUUUUUCAGGAACCUUGUUUGUGCAUGUGUGUGUAUACGUGUAUUAUUAGAAUGAAAUGAAAAUUGCGGAUUAUUCAGCGUCUUGUAGUGGAACAGACACCCUUGCACUCAUCAAAACGCUCUUGCACACCCUUCACUCUGCUUAGAAAAAUUGCAUGACGUCUGGUGGUUUUGUGUCAACUGUGACGAGCAUCCAGUUGUUCAAGAAAAUCCUUGCUUCUUGCGUGCUCAAGGAAGAUCGCUCGCGUGCGAUCGUAAGAAAAUGCUAAUCCCGGCAUAUAUAGGUAGUGCCCUAGAUUGCUUUCACGAGUCUCUCUCUCUCUCUCUCUCUCUCUCUCUCUCUCGCUCGCUCCAAGCCUGCUAAUGCCGCAGGUACGAUCGGGUGAUCGUACCACGCAACUGUAAAAAACGGCGACUGUAUCGAGCGCUUUGACAUUGCGCGAUUAUCCGGCCAAGUUUAACGUACAUGGACACGCACGAGUCGGAGUAAUUUGCGCUCACUUGUGUUCACUUUUUAAGCUCCGGUAUGCGAAUUGCAUAAAUAUCGCGACGAGCAUAUUUCACGUGAAACUCAGUCUUAAAAUUGAUGUAUGAACAGUAUGGAAAUUGCUCUACCGUCUUGUCAACGGUUCCGACUCGUGUGGCAGAGUGUCGGCUAUGAAAUAUUCAUUCCGCUGGUCUAUGUACAGUCAAUACUCGUGCCAAGUAUUCGUUUACGGAGUGACGAGGCUUUACAUCUGCUACGGACGCCGCAAGUGCGAAGGGUAUGCGAUGCUGCCGAUUUCGACGGCGUGUAAGCACGCGUUCGUUAUAAUGCAGAGGUCUACCACGUAAGAGCAAGUGAUACGAGAACAUUUCCAAUCCUAUCUUGACGCGGGUGAGCAAGGAUGAAUCGAUACAUAACUUUGAACCAAUUGGGCGAUGGAACCUUCGGUUCCGUCGUUCUCGGGGAACGCAUCGAUACGGGUGAAAAGGUCGCUAUAAAGAGAAUGAAGAGAAAGUACUAUUCUUGGGAGGAAGCUAUGAAUUUGCGAGAAGUAAAGUCAUUGAAAAAGCUCAGUCACGCAAACGUCGUGAAGCUGAAGGAAGUUAUACGGGAGAACGACGUGCUGUACUUUGUAUUUGAAUACAUGAAGGAAAAUCUCUAUCAGCUGAUGAAAGACAGGGAUAAACUUUUUCCCGAGCCGGUGAUAAGGAACAUGGUGUACCAAGUAUUGCAAGGUCUCGCUUUCAUGCACAAGCAUGGCUUUUUCCAUCGUGACAUGAAGCCGGAAAAUUUACUGUGCAUGGGACCGGAAUUGGUGAAGAUCGCUGAUUUCGGGCUGGCGCGAGAGAUCAGAUCGAGACCGCCAUACACGGAUUACGUGUCGACGAGAUGGUAUCGGGCACCGGAAGUGUUGCUGCAUUCCACGACUUACAACAGCCCGAUCGAUAUUUGGGCGGUCGGCUGUAUAAUGGCCGAGUUGUAUACAUUUAGGCCUCUGUUUCCCGGCAAGAGCGAAAUUGACGAGAUAUUUAAGAUAUGCUCCGUGGUCGGGACUCCCGACAAGGAUGACUGGCCAGAGGGAUACCAAUUGGCCACGGCUAUGAACUUCAAAUUUCCAAAUUUCACGCGCACGUCGUUGGCUGUUUUGAUACCGAACGCUGGUGAAGAAGCGGUCAUAAUCAUGGAAGAUAUGUUACAGUGGAAUCCUCUAAAGAGACCAACGGCACAACAGUCGCUUAGGUAUCCGUACUUUCAAGUCGGUGACCCGCGUAUCAUUAAUAGCAAAAAGAUCGGUGUCGUAUCUCAACGGGAGCUUGCCAUGAACAAAAUAAAUCUUCCAUCAGCUACACCUAAGCAAUACAACAAUUACCCUCACAAGGACGUUGUUAAUAGCGUACUUCAAUCAAGAGCACCUGAAGUGGUGGUUGAACCGCAACAGCAAUCGGCUACCUUACCAUUGUUGAACUAUAAUAAUCGCAAGAACGACAACAGUGUUUCCAAACAGUGGGACGAUGACGAAUUCGCUGAACUUUUGGGAAGUAAAAUCGUCCCGGAGAACACGAGCGCGAUGCUCUUGCCCGAUCGGGUGUACAAGGAAAAUCGUGCCAAUUGGAAUGCCAACUAUCAGCAGGCCGACGGCAUGAAGCACGGCAAUGCGAACUGGUCGCUGCCAGCGUGGCAGGAAGCACCGUCGAGAGUGUGGAACCAGUCGAAUCAGUCCAACCAGAUGAAGAGCUCGCGCAAGGUCUCGGCGAAGCAGCACUACCUCAGUGUGGCUCGGUACGUCGCAGGCCAGAGCACAAAUUUGCCAUCCAGGUAUAGAAAGUUCCGAGAUUUACUCGAGAGAGUCCUGAUCGCGUGCACGAUGUUGAUACUCUGCCAUGUCCUGGCGCGAUCGCACAUCGGACAGGAUAUCUUUCUCGGCGACUCGAUCAGUUCCCUUGAACUUGUGCCACUUGCAAAGAAUCAUUCUCACACGGCGCAGUCCUACGUGAUUGUCCGCAAAUCGAUUUCCACACUGAUCGAUGUUGUGCAACAUUUAACCGCUGCACUGGCGAGAAUUUUAUUUCCGUUGGAUAUCUUCCCGAACAUUUCCGAACUCGUUGAGUUCGUUCGUCGAUUCACUUUCGACGCAAUGCGUCUUUCAUGUUCGUAUCGAAUCUUGCUGAUUCAUUCUGCCAAAUACCUCUGCCAAAUAAAAUGUUUCGCGACAAUGACGGACUUGUUAAUUUGGAUGGACCAAAUUACGCAAUCCCUCACGCUGCGUAUGACAUGCGCGCUGCAACACGUUUUGACAAUCUUGUUCUGACUAUCGACUUUGUAAUUUUCGGCAAUGAUGCCGCGUUAACUGAAUGGCAGUAAAUGUGUACCGAGUGGAGCAAUUGUUGAAAACUAAAACGUUCGUAUAAUGAAAUGAGGAUACCGAUAUCAACCGAUCGAAAUUGCUAUUGAGCGGAUUCAUCGGUCAGGCAACGUCCAACAAAUAUGACGACUUUACAG